Burkholderiales bacterium is the source of this 202-nucleotide non-coding RNA. Lineage: Bacteria; Pseudomonadati; Pseudomonadota; Betaproteobacteria; Burkholderiales. The record is from Rfam.
GUCGCUGCGAGGCGGGGUGGAGAGCAACUGGAGGGCGAACUGGCAGUGCGCAGGAUGACGAACUCGAUUCGGCGGUGUGUGGCGACGAGCCUGCUCUCUCAAGGCGAAGUCCGAAAUACGUCCGGUACGCUGGUGAUGGCGUGUAAAGCGAUACCGGAGCACACAACGUGGCUGGAGGCGCAAUGCCAGGAAGGUGUGGCGA